GCUUCUACCUGAUAUCACCUUCGGAGUUCGAGCGCUUUUCUCUCUCCACCAAGUGGCUGGUUGAGCCCCGGUGUUUGGUGGAUUCAGCCAAAGCCAGGAACCACAACCGGCCCAGUAAUGGCAAUAGCACAGGCCCCAAAAGGACCUCCGGCCAAGUCAGGAACUCACGGAGCCAGAGUGAUGGAGCAGAGACGAAGCCCGGCCCAGUGAUGGAGCACGCACUGCUCAGUGACGCCUCAGGGGUCCUAAAGGAAGUCCAGAGCACGCUAGAGGGGGACCAGGGGAGCUGUGGCAAUUGGCGCUCUCACCGUGUGGCUGUGGGUUGCAGGCUGAGCAAUGGCGAAGCAGAGUGAAUGGGACAUCAUCCAGGCUGUAGAACGAACACACACUACUGAGGGCCUUUCCAGCCCGAGCCCGGCCAGGGGCUGCCCGUGCCCUGGUCACCUUCCUGCUGCUGCUCCAGGCUUUAGGAGAGGGGAGCUCCCACCUGGACCGCCCGCCCCUCCUGGGCCCUGUCUGUCUUGAUCCUUUUAUCAAUGUCGCACAGUUUUUAUUUCCACCCCCUUUUGUAGUGGGCUGGGUUUUAAAUUAUAAAUUUUAACGCCUCUGAGU
This 612-nucleotide long non-coding RNA is filed under the name Rattus norvegicus (Norway rat). RNAcentral describes it as "long non-coding RNA NONRATT006265". The record is from RNAcentral. Lineage: Eukaryota; Metazoa; Chordata; Mammalia; Rodentia; Muridae.